Molecule: ribosomal RNA, 253 nt
Filed under: uncultured bacterium
Lineage: Bacteria
Description: partial 16S ribosomal RNA
Rfam family: Bacterial small subunit ribosomal RNA
Source: RNAcentral
UACGGGGGGGGCAAGCGUUGUUCGGAAUUACUGGGCGUAAAGGGCUCGUAGGCGGCCAACUAAGUCAGACGUGAAAUCCCUCGGCUUAACCGGGGAACUGCGUCGGAUACUGGAUGGCUUGAGAUUGGGAGAGGGAUGCGGAAUUCCAGGUGUAGCGGUGAAAUGCGUAGAUAUCUGGAGGAACACCGGUGGCGAAGGCGGCAUCCUGGACCAACACUGACGCUGAGGAGCGAAAGCCAGGGGAGCAAACGGG